RNAcentral lists this long non-coding RNA (932 nucleotides) under Diabrotica virgifera virgifera (western corn rootworm). Its description in RNAcentral is "uncharacterized LOC126893254". Lineage: Eukaryota; Metazoa; Arthropoda; Insecta; Coleoptera; Chrysomelidae. The record is from RNAcentral.
UUUCACGAUUGCGAGCCACGCUUCACGCAACCGUGUUUGCGUACUUGUGUUUCGAGUUGCGUGGUCGUGCGGAGUUAUAUUUACCAAAUUUAAAUCCGUUCCAACAUGCUGUCAAAAUUAAGUCAAUAUGGCUACUGGCAUAGCCACCCGUAAAGUAAAGGUGGCUAUGCUACUGGGUGUAAAAGAUAAAUCUUAUUCUAUCUGUUCUUAAUGAGUUUUAGAUAAUUUUAGUUGUAUUUCUUUGUAAUUUUGUGUUGUACAAAGAUUAAUUUAACAUUUUCUAUGGAAGUAUUAAUUUAGAAAGAUAAUAUGCUUCAUUGGUGUUGUGUUUUGAAGUGUGAAAUGCAAUUGUGAUAAAGUCAAGAUAAAGUUCACUUUUAAACUGAACUAAAUAAGGUAUCUGAGAGACAACAAUGGUUAAAUGCAAUACAAUGUACAGGUUUUACUAGCGAAAUGAAAAUUUUCCUGUCCUGUCUGCUGUAAUCAUUUUAUAUCUGGUAAGUUACAAUUACAACAGUAAUGAUUUUUGAAGAUGUUAACAUUUUAAUCUUAUAGGAAAACCAGCCGACUUAAUCGAUAAUAACAAUCUCCAGAUUGGGUUCCUUCAAUAAAUAUGGGCUAUAAACACAAUGAAAUAAGUUCCCCAAAAUCUAAAAUGGAGUGGUAUCAAAGGAGAAUUAAAGGAAAAAAUAUUCAUAUUGAAGUUAUUUAUAAGGCACUGGACUGUCUUAAAUUCUACAAUAAUACUAGAAUCAGCUGAGAGAAGUGGUCUACAAAAAACCAGGAAGGAAACGGAAUAUGUGGCUACGAAAGGCAAAAGAAAGGUUUACAAAGCAAAUGUGACACAUUUUUUUGAAAUAUUUAGGAAUAUCAGUAAAUUGCAUUAAAAAAAUGUAUGGAAAGAUUUUGUUCAAUAAAAAUGUUUAUAUUUA